RNAcentral lists this ribosomal RNA (301 nucleotides) under uncultured bacterium. Its description in RNAcentral is "partial 16S ribosomal RNA". It matches the Rfam family "Bacterial small subunit ribosomal RNA", at positions 509 to 807 of the family's 1533-position model. The record is from RNAcentral.
CAGCAGCCGCGGGAAUACGAAGGGGGCUAGCGUUGUUCGGAAUUACUGGGCGUAAAGCGCACGUAGGCGGACUUUUAAGUCAGGGGUGAAAUCCCGGGGCUCAACCUCGGAACUGCCUUUGAUACUGGAAGUCUUGAGUGUGGAAGAGGUAAGUGGAAUUGCGAGUGUAGAGGUGAAAUUCGUAGAUAUUCGCAGGAACACCAGUGGCGAAGGCGGCUUACUGGUCCACAACUGACGCUGAGGUGCGAAAGCGUGGGGAGCAAAUGGGAUUAGAUACCCGUGUAGUCCCUGUCUCUUAUAC